Rattus norvegicus (Norway rat) is the source of this 493-nucleotide non-coding RNA. The record is from RefSeq and is a predicted model, not a curated record. Lineage: Eukaryota; Metazoa; Chordata; Mammalia; Rodentia; Muridae.
AUGAUGUCACUGAGAACUGCCGUAGACUACCUGCUGUACAGAUUUCCUUACAUUGACCAGAUUUGAGGGUGACACUUUCAGAAGAGUCUCCUGUUUAAGAGUGGAAACCUUUACAUACUAAAUCUCUCUAAAGGACCUUUUAUACUUGACAAAAAGAAUGAAGGUCAUGAUGCCUAAUGAUGAUGUCACUGAAAACUCUCAUGGACUACCUGAUGAACAACUUUCCUUACAUUGACAAGAUUCAAGUUUGCACUUUAAAGGCUCCACCAAGGGACGACUGACACUGAAGCAGACGCGCACGGUCAAAUAUCAGAUGGAGCUCAGUGAGUCUCACUGAAGAACUGAAGGAAGGACUGAGAGAGGUUCUUCUUGAAAUUGUUUGAAGAAGUGAAAACUGGUAUGUGUUUAUUUGUUCACAUUCAUAAAGCAUGGCCAUUGCUCUAGUGAUGGACAGAUGGCACAACUUUUAAGAGGCAAACUGACUUUCUUCCCA